ACGUUCGCGCUCGCCAGCGGUGCGCGCGGUGGGACCGUGCGCCUCGAGGGAAUCCGGUGCGAAUCCGGAGCUGCCCCGCAGCGGUGUGCAGGAACGAACGCCGUCCCGAGCACUGGAGGAAUGGUCCUCCGGGAAGCGACGGCCAGUAGAGACCGGAUCGGCUCGAACGCGAUCCGAGCGCCUGCGAGCCCGAAGACCUGCCGACGGUGUCGCGCGAGA
This 219-nucleotide non-coding RNA is filed under the name Sandaracinus amylolyticus. The record is from RNAcentral. Lineage: Bacteria; Pseudomonadati; Myxococcota; Polyangiales; Sandaracinaceae.